ACGAACGCUUGCGGCGUGCUUAACACAUGCAAGUCGAACGGAAAGGCCCUGCUUUUGUGGGGUGCUCGAGUGGCGAACGGGUGAGUAACACGUUAGUAACCUGCCCUUGACUUUGGGAUAACUUCAGGAAACUGGGGCUAAUACCGGAUAGGAGCUCCUGCUGCAUGGUGGGGGUUGGAAAGUUUCGGCGGUUGGGGAUGGACUCGCGGCUUAUCAGCUUGUUGGUGGGGUAGUGGCUUACCAAGGCUUUGACGGGUAGCCGGCCUGAGAGGGUGACCGGCCACAUUGGGACUGAGAUACGGCCCAGACUCCUACGGGAGGCAGGAGUGGGGAAUAUUGCACAAUGGGCGGAAGCCUGAUGCAGCAACGCCGCGUGCGGGAUGACGGCCUUCGGGUUGUAAACCGCUUUCGCCUGUGACGAAGCGUGAGUGACGGUAAUGGGUAAAGAAGCACCGGCUAACUACGUG
This 467-nucleotide ribosomal RNA is filed under the name uncultured bacterium. Its description in RNAcentral is "partial 16S ribosomal RNA". It matches the Rfam family "Bacterial small subunit ribosomal RNA", at positions 29 to 507 of the family's 1533-position model. The record is from RNAcentral.